This 635-nucleotide ribosomal RNA is filed under the name uncultured Saccharomycetales. RNAcentral's name for it is "eukaryotic LSU rRNA". The stretch from base 246 to 399 matches the Rfam family "5.8S ribosomal RNA". The record is from RNAcentral. Lineage: Eukaryota; Fungi; Ascomycota; Saccharomycetes.
AAGUCGUAACAAGGUUUCCGUAGGUGAACCUGCGGAAGGAUCAUUACAGUAUUCUUUUUGCCAGCGCUUAAUUGCGCGGCGAAAAAACCUUACACACAGUGUUUUUUGUUAUUACAAGAACUUUUGCUUUGGUCUGGACUAGAAAUAGUUUGGGCCAGAGGUUUACUGAACUAAACUUCAAUAUUUAUAUUGAAUUGUUAUUUAUUUAAUUGUCAAUUUGUUGAUUAAAUUCAAAAAAUCUUCAAAACUUUCAACAACGGAUCUCUUGGUUCUCGCAUCGAUGAAGAACGCAGCGAAAUGCGAUAAGUAAUAUGAAUUGCAGAUUUUCGUGAAUCAUCGAAUCUUUGAACGCACAUUGCGCCCUCUGGUAUUCCAGAGGGCAUGCCUGUUUGAGCGUCAUUUCUCUCUCAAACCUUCGGGUUUGGUAUUGAGUGAUACUCUUAGUCGAACUAGGCGUUUGCUUGAAAUGUAUUGGCAUGAGUGGUACUGGAUAGUGCUAUAUGACUUUCAAUGUAUUAGGUUUAUCCAACUCGUUGAAUAGUUUAAUGGUAUAUUUCUCGGUAUUCUAGGCUCGGCCUUACAAUAUAACAAACAAGUUUGACCUCAAAUCAGGUAGGAUUACCCGCUGAACUUAA